UUGAGGGAGGGAGAGACAGAGAGAGACAGAGAGACAGAGAGACAGAGAGAGACAGAGAGAUUAUUUGCCUGGCAGAAAGAGAGACAGAGAGGUUGUUCCCUCAAUAGACAUUGAUUUUGCUCAGGCAUUGCUGAGAUUGAUAUUGAUUUUGGGGCAUUUGGAUUUUCAAUCAGGAUGAGAGCAGUAUCGAAAUUGUAUGAGACGAUAGAGAUGAGAGUGCAUAUGGACUGCCCCGGAUGCGAGAGCAAGGCUAGAAGUACACUUCAGAAGCUAAAAGAUACGUCAAUUCGGGUUAUCUGAUUAAGGUAUCGACAACGUUGAGAUAGACAUGGCUCUGCAGAAGGUCACAGUGACCGGGUGGGCAAGGGCAAGAGGGUUGUCUUUUGAAGCAGCUUUCUUCUGGCUUGCUUUUGGUCACUGGGCCAUUUAAGAUUAAUGGUGUUCCUCGUAGACAGGUGAACCAAUCUUAUGUUAUUGGAACUUCAACCAAGGUUGACAGCUCUGGUGUUAACGUGGAGAAGUUUGAUGACAAGUACUUUGCCAAGGAGGGUCAAAAGAAGCAAAAGAAGGGAGAAGGCGAGUUCUUUGAAGUGGAGAAGGAGAAAGGGAGUUCUUUUUCGAUAAAGGAGUGUGUGAUUUCAAUUGCUUUGACAGUGGGGCUAAUAACAGGAGUUCCUGCAUUGGAAUUGUCAUAAGAAUGCCCAUGCAGCUACCCCCAGUGCUGCUUGAUCUGGCUGUACUGAUGUCCAGACCGCCAAUAAAGGACCCUGGGGCAUUGUAGAGAUAUGCUCUGCCUAUUAAUAACAAGGCUAUCAGGGAGGUAUAAAAGCCACUUGAAGAUAUCACAGAGAGUCUCAAGAUAGCUGGAGUCAAGGCACUAGAUUCAACUGAGCGGAAUUUGAGGCAGGCAUCUCCAGCACUGAAGCAGGGGAAGGCUUUAAUUGUGUCUGGAUUAGCUGAAUGGAAGGAGGAUCAGGGUGCUGAAUCGCUUGGCAAGCUGGCGGUUGGAAUGGAUGAGCUCCAACAGAUUGUGGAGGACAAAAAUAGAGAUGGAAUUGCUAAGAAACAGAAAGAACUGAUACCCUACGUCAGAGGGUGAUCGGGUAUAUGCUAGAAGCAUUACUUCUGGCAUGGUGAAGGUUUACUUCUUAUUUCACUAGGUAUAUCUAAUAGGCUAGAGCAAGAUAUAUAAAUGAGCUCUAAGUAGCUCAGUCUGUGAAAAGAAGAACUUACAAACUUUUUGCAUCUCACUUACGUAUAUGUCAUAGCAAGGAUUUCCAAAUUGUGCAUUCACUGUCAAAAUAUUAAGCACCUACCAUUUCUUAUAUCAGAUGCCUUGAGUUCCAAAAUGUUUACGCCACAAACGAGUCUGUAGGUCUGAUACUGUUACCGCAAGACUUUACUGCUGAUGAGUAGAUGUUAGUAAUACGAGUGAUAUAAAAAGAUUAGUGAUACUCGUGCUUAGGAAUAGUUAACUAUUAGGAAAAUCACCACCCAUUCCCCAGUGAUGAGUAGCUCAAAAGAUGUUGAAGUGCAUGAGAUUGUAGUUAUAACAUGUGUAGUCACUAGUCUCAUAUAUACCCUUGUCACUGACACCAGCUGAGCUCUUCCUGAGGAAUUGGAUUUCUGCAGUGUUGAAGAGGACAUGGUGGAGGAUUCCCCUUAUGAAGUUUGAUGGAGAUUCUUCUACUCCAUUGUUGUUUGAAUAAGCUCACUUGCACUUGGUUAGUGUAGUUAUCUUCUCUGUGCUGAUACUUUUCUUAUCAACAAAUUAAUAGCUAAUUAGAACAAUUCUAAGAUAAUAGAGGUGCAUGUAGAUUUGUCUUGUAUUCAUACUGAAACAAUCAAAUGUACAGGUCAAUGUGGUUGUAACCUAAUGAUUUGCCGCGAAUUGAUGAAUUGGACUAGAGACUGAUAUGAUAUAUUGUAUUUGCAAAACAAAACAGGGCAGACUGACAAGACGGUGAAGGUGGUGAGGGAAGGUGGAAAGGUGGUUACAAUAGUAGGUCCAGUAAUGCCUCCGGCGUUCAGAUUUGUGCUCACCCCUACAGGGUCUAUCUUGGAGAAACUGAAGCCGUACUCGAGGAGCAGGAAGGUGAAUCCAGUGCUUGAUCCCACAGGUCCAUAUCACUUUUAUAAAGUUGUUGAAGCACUUGGUUACCUUGAGACUUCAAGAGCUACAGGAAAGGUUGUUGUGUACCCCAUCCCAUGAGAUCGAGACUCGCUGUGUCUAUAAUCUAGGAUUUCUAUUACAGAUUUAGUCGAUUUUUACUGUAUGUAUGCAGCAGUUACUUGAAGACUUGUAGUACGGGGAUGUAAGAGAUGCUUGUUAUAUAUCUAGAAUCAGAGCUUCUUUACUUUCUUUGC
This is a long non-coding RNA of Rosa rugosa (rugosa rose), 2367 nucleotides long. RefSeq lists it as uncharacterized. The transcript has 7 exons. The record is from RefSeq and is a predicted model, not a curated record. NCBI's taxonomy places the organism in Eukaryota, Viridiplantae, Streptophyta, Magnoliopsida, Rosales, Rosaceae.